UCAACAGAACUGAAGUGAAGCCUUGUGAUUGACAGGAGGGAAGCAGUAGAUCCUACAAGACCCCUGAGAAGAGUGAAAGGAUGGGUGUGGUGUGGUAGCAUAGAGAACCCAGCAGAGCCUGUUUGUGCAGACUUCUUGGCCUCUCUGUAGCUUCCUCCCCUCCUGGGUACCUGAUAGGACCAUCUGAGAUAAGAGUCUUCAGAAAGAGGAAAGAACGCCUCUGUUGGUUCUGUGGUGUGCUCUGGGUGAGUGGGUUUCUAGUCUCUGUGACUUGCCCCAGGAUGAGAUGGUAGGAAAAGGCUAGAGAGGUCUUGCUUUUGAGGCUUCCAGGGUCCUUCAGUUCAAAUUACACAGUGUGCCAGGGUGCCCGACUUUGAGGUACUUUGUUCUGAGCCCUAAUCCUCCUUUUAUAAGGAAACUGUUCCUUUUGGAUUAGGGUCCACCUAAUGACCUUACUUUGCCAUAAUUAACCCUUAAAGGCCCUAUGUAUCAUCAAUACAGUUAUGCUGAGGCAAGUCUUCAGCAUACAGAGCCAUGACUCCAGGUUAUCAGUGCCCAGUGUUGGCACUAAGUAGCCAUUUCUUCUCGAAGGUGAUAGUGUAUCCAGUUCAUUGCUGUCUGCUCAUAGCAGACUAGAUAUUCCAUGAUGGCAGUAGCUAGAUCAUCCUGGGUACACAGGGCCCAUUUGUAACCUCCAUCCAUGUCAUCAUGGCUACUCUUCCUGUGCUGGUACUGAGAUAGACAAUAAUAAUGUUGCCGUCAUUCUGUCUAUCUCCUGCGUGUUGCCUUUUCUAUGAUGGACGUCCAUGGUAGGAAUUAGCCUGAGAUAACAGCCACCACACUUCCAACAUGUUCCUCUAUCUGUGUACACUUGCCUUCCCUCAGGUUUCCUUGGGCCCUACCUUCCAGUCUCCUGGAUGACCAGCCAAGUCAUUGGCUAUCCCAGUAAAUCCGAAUGCUGCAUUUUAUUACCCACAAGCCACUUCUCUUUACACUAAGUAGAUGACUGAGGGCGUUAACCUGCUCUGCCCAUGGAAGACUUUAACCUAAGCACUGGAGGGGCAGAGGUAGCUGGGUCUCUGUGAGUUUGUGUGUACAGCCUGGACUACAGGUGAGUUCCAGGAUAGCCAGAGCUACAUACACAGUGAUAUCCUGGUCUCAAAAAUCCAAAACAAAAAUAAAAACAAACAUACAAAUCCCCACAAAGCCCAUGAGCCUAUGAAAUGUCAGAUACUGGCCCUGGUAGCAACAAGCCAGACCCAAUAGCAAAGUGACUAUGAUCCACUGGAGACACAAGGCUGGGGGAGCAGUUACCGUGUCUGACCCGCUGCCCUCAACGCUGCCCUGACUGAAUGUACAGAUGACAGGCACAUGCCACAGAAGGACACAUUGAGUACUAAAGCCAGUUUUCAAGUCAGCCAACCCGAGUCAAGCACGCAAGCAUUUCUGGGUCAUAACUACUUGAAGAAGACUUGUGAAAGGCCAAAGCACAUCUGGCACUCUGCCACUUGUCUGGCCUCAUGAAGUUCCUCAUAGACUGACUCUGUCCAGAUGAGUGAAGCCCCAAGAGGCAUCACACAGGCUACCGCUCUCCAGGCUGCAAAGCAUGCAAGAGCUUCCCAGCUAACGCAGACCCUCUCAGAAUCCUGCCAGAGGGGCCGCCUUGGCCUCCAUCUAUUGAAGCGCCUUCACCAGUAGCCCCAUGACAGGAGGAGGCUCCACUGCUCCUCAUAAGCAUCUGCUCUUCCUGCAACAGCUCCUUUCCUGGCUACCCUGUUCCUGAACUUCCUGCUUUCUUCCUAGCUGCUUCAAUUUCUUUUUAUCCUUUUUGUCAGCCUAAUCACAGACUUUUUCUGUCUGUCCUGACUUGUUUACAGCUUGACCUUGCAGGACAUCUGUGUGUCUUUUUAUUUAUUUAUUUAUUUAUUUAUUUAUUUAUUUAUUUGGUUUUCCGAGACAGGGUUUCUUUGUGUAGCCCUCUGUAGACCAGGCUGGCCUUGAACUCAGAAAUCCGCCUGUCUCUGCCUCCCAAGUGCUGGGAUUAAAGGUGUGCGCCAUCACUGCCUGGCCAAGGCAUGAGCUCUUGAAAGGACAGAACUAUGGGAACUUCACUCACUUGUGCCCUUUUGGACACUAAUACAGCAUACUGCCCUGUGUGUGUGCAAGAAGCUGCCUGAGCUACUUCCAGAAGGUAAAGCAGUGGUGGGGUGGUGUCCCUGCUAGACCCUGUGCAGCGCUGGGGCAUGGCACCUCUGCACAGUGUAGUGUGUGGAGGAAUCUAGACAAGGCCAUCAGGUGGGAUUGCAAAGCCCAGGGGAGGGGAGGAAGACUAGAGUCCCCAAACAACUGUGGGACAUCAGGGGAUUGCAUUUGCUUAAGAACUGAGAGCUAUAAGGAGUGAUAGUGACAGAUGAGGUGUGGCCACCCAUGCUGGUAAUCCAGACACAGGACAGCCGUAAGUCAUAGGCCAUGGAGUGGCCUGGGCUCCUGAAAGCUUACCCCUGGGCUAUGAGUAGAGAACCUGUUUGAAAC
RNAcentral lists this long non-coding RNA (2532 nucleotides) under Mus musculus (house mouse). RNAcentral describes it as "long non-coding RNA chr14:121995510-121998042". Lineage: Eukaryota; Metazoa; Chordata; Mammalia; Rodentia; Muridae. The record is from RNAcentral.